UCGCUACUACCGAUUGAACGGUUUAAUGAGCUCCGAGGAUUUGUUGCUAGGUGGAAACACUUAGUGGUGAAGAGCAGGCGCAAAUUUGAUCGUUUAGAGGAAGUAA
RNAcentral lists this ribosomal RNA (106 nucleotides) under uncultured eukaryote. RNAcentral's name for it is "partial small subunit ribosomal RNA". The record is from RNAcentral.